GAGUUUGAUCCUGGCUCAGGAUGAACGCUGGCGGCGUGCUUAACACAUGCAAGUCGAACGAAGCACUUUAUUUGAUUUCCUUCGGGACUGAUUAUUUUGUGACUGAGUGGCGGACGGGUGAGUAACGCGUGGGUAACCUGCCUUGUACAGGGGGAUAACAGUCAGAAAUGACUGCUAAUACCGCAUAAGCGCACAGGACCGCAUGGUCCGGUGUGAAAAACUCCGGUGGUAUGGGAUGGACCCGCGUCUGAUUAGCCAGUUGGUGGGGUAACGGCCUACCAAGUCGACGAUCCAUAGCCGGACUGAGAGGUUGAACGGCCACAUUGGGACUGAGACACGGCCCAGACUCCUACGGGAGGCAGCAGUGGGGAAUAUUGCACAAUGGGGGAAACCCUGAUGCAGCAACGCCGCGUGGAGGAAGAAGGUUUUCGGAUUGUAAACUCCUGUCGUUAGGGACGAUAAUGACGGUACCUAACAAGAAAGCACCGGCUAACUACGUGCCAGCCGCCGCGGUAAUUC
RNAcentral lists this ribosomal RNA (519 nucleotides) under uncultured bacterium. Its description in RNAcentral is "bacterial SSU rRNA". It matches the Rfam family "Bacterial small subunit ribosomal RNA", at positions 9 to 526 of the family's 1533-position model. The record is from RNAcentral.